This 207-nucleotide long non-coding RNA is filed under the name Trifolium pratense (red clover). Its description in RNAcentral is "long non-coding RNA (TPRA_LNC005943)". Lineage: Eukaryota; Viridiplantae; Streptophyta; Magnoliopsida; Fabales; Fabaceae. The record is from RNAcentral.
AGUCUUUACAACAAGACUCAUAUUUAUCCUAUGAGUCUUACUCAAUUGGAUGACAAAACAAUAUCCAUAUAUGUUUUGUGUACAUAGACUCUUUGUAAGUCACAUUCUCAUCUUCCAUGAGCAUCAUAUAUCACCUUGUCGAGUCAUGGUAAAACCGUGACUCUCAACUGUGUGAUAUGACAUAUCCGACUUAUAUAGGUCUUGUGC